GACGAACGCUGGCGGCGUGCCUAAUACAUGCAAGUUGAGCGCUGAAGGUUGGUACUUGUACCAACUGGAUGAGCAGCGAACGGGUGAGUAACGCGUGGGGAAUCUGCCUUUGAGCGGGGGACAACAUUUGGAAACGAAUGCUAAUACCGCAUAAAAACUUUAAACACAAGUUUUAAGUUUGAAAGAUGCAAUUGCAUCACUCAAAGAUGAUCCCGCGUUGUAUUAGCUAGUUGGUGAGGUAAAGGCUCACCAAGGCGAUGAUACAUAGCCGACCUGAGAGGGGGAUCGGCCACAUUGGGACUGAGGCACGGCCCAAACUCCUACGGGAGGCAGCAGUAGGGAAUCUUCGGCAAUAGACGAAAGUCUGACCGAGCAACGCCGCGUGAGUGAAGAAGGUUUUCGGAUCGUAAAACUCUGUUGGUAGAGAAGAACGUUGGUGAGAGUGGAAAGCUCAUCAAGUGACGGUAACUACCCAGAAAGGGACGGCUAACUACGUG
RNAcentral lists this ribosomal RNA (497 nucleotides) under uncultured bacterium. RNAcentral describes it as "partial 16S ribosomal RNA". It matches the Rfam family "Bacterial small subunit ribosomal RNA", at positions 28 to 507 of the family's 1533-position model. The record is from RNAcentral.